UUUUCAAAGUGUUCAAUACCAAUGUCAUGGGAAACAAACAAUUGAAACAUAUAUCAUCCUCUUCACUGCCCAAGGAAACAAAUCAGAAGCACUAAGCCCCAAAGGUUUCCCCCAAACUGUUUUUAUUCCAACAAUCAAAUCUUCAGAAACUAUGAAUCUCUCCAUAAAAAGUUUUGGCUUUCUCUCAAUCUCUCAAGAAACAGGUGAAUCGCCCUCAAUCUUUUUCUCAAUCCUUUUCGUUGAACUUGAAAUCUCUGAACCAAAUCUUUCUCUCAAUUUGGCGCUUACUCAGUGGUUGAACUCGAAUCUCUGAUGGUUUUAUGCAUGCUGCAACAUGAAUAUUAGGAUAGGUCUCAUGCUUCCAAGAACAUGGGACUGAAGUUGAAAAAGCCAUAGAGCAAUUAGGAAAAUCAAGGUAGUCUCACUUUUAAAUCAGAUUUUGAUUUCACCAUCUAUGAAUUAUUUUGUGCAUUUCUCUAUAGAAUAUUUAUCUAUGUUUUCUUGAACUAUGUUUGCUAAUAGUAAACUUAAUGAAUGGUUUCUCUAUAGAAUAUUUUGAAUUUUAUUUACUGAUAGCAACUUCAGUGUUAUAUGUUAAGGUUCAAUUAUUUAGUAUAGUUAGUUAGGAGAAAAAAAAGUGAAUAAUUAGAUAACAUGAUUACUAACAUAUUGGUAAACCAUUCAUGAUUUUAACGCUGAAGCUGUGAUGAUUGUCAUAUUUCAUUGUUGUUUGUAUCAGCUAAUAUUUAACUUCUUUAAAACUGAUGCUUAUACUUAUCUUUGUGUCAGCAGGACCUUAAUCAAUGUAAAGUGAAAGACAAGGUAGAAAUGAAAAAUAAUAAGUAUAUAGAUCCUUUCCUCAAUGUACAUUAUUUUUAUAUGGGCAAGUUGAAGGCAAGUAGCUUCUGCCUGGGCAAGGAAGGUGUUGGGUUAAAAAUUUGACGUGAUGCUCUAUGCUCUCUCUGUUUAAAGAAAAUUACUACAUCAAAUAUAUGUUUUUAUAAUGCAUUUGUAAUGAUAAGCUACAAAUUUAGUUGGAUAUGAUGAUUUUCAAAUUUAGUAGUUAAUGCAGA
This 1073-nucleotide long non-coding RNA is filed under the name Medicago truncatula (barrel medic). Its description in RNAcentral is "long non-coding RNA (MTRU_LNC001154)". Lineage: Eukaryota; Viridiplantae; Streptophyta; Magnoliopsida; Fabales; Fabaceae. The record is from RNAcentral.